Molecule: transfer RNA, 94 nt
Organism: Camelus ferus (Wild Bactrian camel)
Lineage: Eukaryota; Metazoa; Chordata; Mammalia; Artiodactyla; Camelidae
Rfam family: tRNA
About the family: Transfer RNA (tRNA) molecules are approximately 80 nucleotides in length. Their secondary structure includes four short double-helical elements and three loops (D, anti-codon, and T loops). Further hydrogen bonds mediate the characteristic L-shaped molecular structure. tRNAs have two regions of fundamental functional importance: the anti-codon, which is responsible for specific mRNA codon recognition, and the 3' end, to which the tRNAs corresponding amino acid is attached (by aminoacyl-tRNA synthetases). tRNAs cope with the degeneracy of the genetic code in two manners: having more than one tRNA (with a specific anti-codon) for a particular amino acid; and 'wobble' base-pairing, i.e. permitting non-standard base-pairing at the 3rd anti-codon position.
Source: Rfam
GAGGGUAUAGCUCAGUGAUAAAGCAUGCGCUUAGCAUGCAUGAAGUCCUGGAUUAGCAUACAUAAGGUCCUGGGUUCAAUCCCCAGUACCUCCA